This 253-nucleotide ribosomal RNA is filed under the name uncultured bacterium. RNAcentral describes it as "partial 16S ribosomal RNA". It matches the Rfam family "Bacterial small subunit ribosomal RNA", at positions 524 to 776 of the family's 1533-position model. The record is from RNAcentral.
UACGAAGGGUGCAAGCGUUACUCGGAAUUACUGGGCGUAAAGCGUGCGUAGGCGGUUUGUUAAGUCCGCUGUGAAGGCCCUGGGCUCAACCUGGGAAUUGCAGUGGAUACUGGCAAGCUAGAGUGCGGUAGAGGAUGGUGGAAUUCCCGGUGUAGCGGUGAAAUGCGUAGAGAUCGGGAAGAACAUCGGUGGCGAAAGCGCUCUACUGGACCGCAACUGACACUCAGGGACGAAAGCUAGGGGAGCGAAUGGG